GAGUCUGGCCCCCGUAGGAGUCCGAGCAGAGUCCUCCUUGCGGUUGGGGUCGUGGGUGGAGCCCGACUCCCAUGGGAAUCCGGGUGGAAUCCCCUGUGUUCAAAAUCAGAUGUAAAGUCUGGCUCCCGUAGGAGUCCGGGCGGAGUCAACUUGAGGUCGGAGUUGUCGGUGGAGUCUGGCUCCCGUAGGAGUCCGGACGAAG
This 202-nucleotide long non-coding RNA is filed under the name Elaeis guineensis (African oil palm). RNAcentral describes it as "long non-coding RNA (EGUI_LNC047852)". The record is from RNAcentral. Lineage: Eukaryota; Viridiplantae; Streptophyta; Magnoliopsida; Arecales; Arecaceae.